RNAcentral lists this ribosomal RNA (446 nucleotides) under uncultured bacterium. RNAcentral's name for it is "partial 16S ribosomal RNA". It matches the Rfam family "Bacterial small subunit ribosomal RNA", at positions 338 to 795 of the family's 1533-position model. The record is from RNAcentral.
CCUACGGGCGGCAGCAGUCGAGAAUCAUUCACAAUGGGGGAAACCCUGAUGGUGCGACGCCGCGUGGGGGAAUGAAGGUCUUCGGAUUGUAAACCCCUGUCAUGUGGGAGCAAAUUAAAAAGAUAGUACCCCAAGAGGAAGAGGCGGCUAACUCUGUGCCAGCAGCCGCGGUAAUACAGAGGUCUCAAGCGUUGUUCGGAAUCACUGGGCGUAAAGCGUGCGUAGGCUGUUUCGUAAGUCGUGUGUGAAAGGCGCGGGCUCAACCCGCGGACGGCACAUGAUACUGCGAGACUAGAGUAAUGGAGAGGGAACCGGAAUUCCAGGUGUAGCAGUGAAAUGCGUAGAGAUCGAGAGGAACACCCGUGGCGAAGGCGGGCUCCUGGACAUUAACUGACGCUGAGGCACGAAGGCCAGGGGAGCGAAAGGGAUUAGAUACCCUAGUAGUC